GCUUAGUCGUAAACUUAAAUAGUCCUAAAACAAGACUAUUCGCCAGAGUACUAUCGGCAACAGCCCAAAACUCAAAGGACUUGGCGGUGCUUCAUAUCCUUCUAGAGGAGCCUGUUCUGUAAACGAUAAACCACGAUUAACCUCACCAAUCCUUGCUACUUCAGUCUAUAUACCGCCAUCUUCAGCAAACCCUAAAAAAGGAACGAAAGUAAGCACAACCACUGCACGUAAAAACGUUAGGUCAAGGUGUAACCUAUGGAUUGGGAAGAAAUGGGCUACAUUUUCUAUAAUAAGAACACCCAAUAAACUUACACGAAAGUUUUUAUGAAACCUAAAAACUAAAGGAGGAUUUAGCAGUAAAUUAAGAAUAGAAUGCUUAAUUGAAUAAGGCCAUGAAGCACGC
Molecule: ribosomal RNA, 403 nt
Filed under: Cephalorhynchus commersonii (Commerson's dolphin)
Lineage: Eukaryota; Metazoa; Chordata; Mammalia; Artiodactyla; Delphinidae
Description: partial 12S ribosomal RNA
Rfam family: Bacterial small subunit ribosomal RNA
Source: RNAcentral